RNAcentral lists this ribosomal RNA (253 nucleotides) under uncultured bacterium. RNAcentral describes it as "partial 16S ribosomal RNA". It matches the Rfam family "Bacterial small subunit ribosomal RNA", at positions 524 to 776 of the family's 1533-position model. The record is from RNAcentral.
UACGUAGGGUGCGAGCGUUGUCCGGAAUUAUUGGGCGUAAAGAGCUCGUAGGCGGCCUGUCGCGUCUGCUGUGAAAUCCCGGGGCUUAACCCCGGGCGUGCAGUGGAUACGGGCUGGCUGGAGGCAGGCAGGGGAGAAUGGAAUUCCCGGUGUAGCGGUGAAAUGCGCAGAUAUCGGGAGGAACACCGGUGGCGAAGGCGGUUCUCUGGGAUGAUGCUGACGCUGAGGCGCGAAAGCCAGGGGAGCAAACGGG